RNAcentral lists this ribosomal RNA (650 nucleotides) under uncultured bacterium. RNAcentral's name for it is "bacterial SSU rRNA". It matches the Rfam family "Bacterial small subunit ribosomal RNA", at positions 8 to 647 of the family's 1533-position model. The record is from RNAcentral.
AGAGUUUGAUCAUGGCUCAGGAUGAACGCUAGCGGGAGGCUUAAUACAUGCAAGUCGAGGGGCAGCAUAGGACUUCGGUUCUGAUGGCGACCGGCGCACGGGUGAGUAACGCGUACACUACCUACCUUUAACAGAGGGAUAGCCCUGGGAAACUGGGAUUAAUACCACAUAGUAUUGCAUAUUUUAUUUUUAUGCAAUUAAAGCUCCGGCGGUUAAAGAUGAGUGUGCGUUAGAUUAGCUAGUUGGUAAGGUAAUGGCUCACCAAGGCAACGAUCCCUAGCUGGUUUGAGAGGAUGAUCAGCCACACUGGAACUGAGACACGGUCCAGACUCCUACGGGAGGCAGCAGUGGGGAAUAUUGCACAAUGGGCGAAAGCCUGAUGCAGCCAUGCCGCGUGUGUGAAGAAGGCGUUCGGGUUGUAAAGCACUUUCAGUCAGGAGGAAAGGGUGUGAAUUAAUACCUCACAUCUGUGACGUUACUGACAGAAGAAGCACCGGCUAACUCCGUGCCAGCAGCCGCGGUAAUACGGAGGGUGCGAGCGUUAAUCGGAAUUACUGGGCGUAAAGCGUACGCAGGCGGUUUGUUAAGCGAGAUGUGAAAGCCCCGGGCUCAACCUGGGGAACUGCAUUUCGAACUGGCAAAACUAGAGU